UUUUUGGAUGACUUGGGUUUGAUAGAAAUUGAAGUUAGAACCGCCAGUACUAGCGGUUACACAGUAUGUGCCCACUUAUGAAAAGGAAUGGAAUGAGUUCCACGUCGGACUAUAUAACACCGUCACUGUGAAUUCAUCACUAUCAGUCAGUUGUCCAGCAACAUCAUCUACAACAACAUGCAGGUCUUUAUCAUUGUUGCUUUCAUGGCCGUGGUUUCAUGCCAAACUCCCUAUUACCAGCAAACCUACAAUCCCUACCCGGAAUACAAGCCGGAAUACAAGCCGGAAUACAAAUGUUGGCAACUCCGAACGUCACACAAGCUACACAACUCUCGGAAUGAAACAGAAACGGCCCUCUAACUUCUUAAAGGCUUUGAGAAGCGACUCUUUCAAACUCGAGUUCGUGAAACUCCUUUCUAUUGGAUUCGGCGAUGCGUCUUUGUCAACGAUUCUUGGAUCAAAACAUCUAUAUGUAACAGAAGGCAAUUCGUGCUUUUCCUUUAAAUCCUGUGAAGGUGCAAUAGUGCGAGCAGAAGAAUUUGAUAUGGGUCGCGCCUAUUGCACCGUUGAGUCCACGGCGCUCUAGUGUCAAAUAGUGCUAUUGCACCGUGGAGUCCACGGCGCUCUAGUGUCAAAUAGUGCUAUUGCGCCGUGGAUCCACGCGUCUCUACUCUCUGUGUCAAAACAUGCUAUUACCCCGUUGAAUCCGGGGAGGCCCUCCAUCCAUAGGGCUGUAUGACAACUGAACAUCUAAAUGUCCCAAUAAUGGUUACAUUUUGCAGAAAUAAAAAAGCACGAGUAAUUUAACAGU
This is a long non-coding RNA of Daphnia magna, 811 nucleotides long. RefSeq lists it as uncharacterized. The transcript has 2 exons. Lineage: Eukaryota; Metazoa; Arthropoda; Branchiopoda; Diplostraca; Daphniidae. The record is from RefSeq and is a predicted model, not a curated record.